UUUUUAUGUGGCGAAGUCUCCAGUGGUCCUCUCAGUUGCUUCUCUUUGUUGAUAUUCGUUCUUCCACUGUCGUCUGUAUCCUAAUUCUUUUUUAUAACAUCAACAUAGGGUUCAAACUUUUCUAAAGCACGCAAACCACUGGUUUGGUGAUAUCUCCGCAACCGCUGGCGUUUCCUACGGUGGUGAAUAACACAUGUUUAAAUCAGAAACCGAAUCAAGUUAUCUAGGGUUUAUUUCUUCUCUGUACCUAUAACCACCACUGCAAAAAGGUUCUAAUAUCUGAUCUACACUGGCCGAAGAAGUAAGCUAUUACACAAAUACAAUCUUAUUUUACAAUAUCAAUAGUUCUCGUGAUCUACUCUGCUUCCUGCAUCUAUUCGCAGACCAGAAGGCGUUUUUAAAGCAACCGAAAGUCUUCAUCUGGUUAGACGCGGACCUUAGACCUUUAGGAUUAGUUCGAAGAAGAGCGGCAAAGGAAAAAGGUCUGGAUAUGGGGAAGUAGUUCUAGAAGAGUAUUGGUCUUGGAUUUAACCUGAGAGAGGCUAUUAAAGGCUACGGGAUUGGAAUUUCCGGUGAUCCCGCCUCAUAUUGUGACCAGAAAAGUGAUUCAGGGUUCCUUUAGGGCUAUAUGAAAUUCUUGAUAUAUAUGUUAACAGAGAAACUGAAGGAACAGUGGAAGUAGGUUAGAAGCCACCUGUGUGGCAGAUGUGUGGAAAAGGGGGGCCACGCUGUUGGGUUAUCAUCGGUAACCCACGCGUUUUGGAGAAAGCGAGAGAAAGGGAAGAAGCAACCGGUAAACACAAUAGAGAUAGAGAGAGAACGAUGUGAGAGAACGAUGAUAGAGAUGAGGGAGAGAGAGGGAAAGAGAGAGACAGAGAGUGUCACGUAGCCGGCCAUGGCCUCCGGCAGAUCGCUCAACACAGCAGCGGCGGCAGUGGAUUUUAGGGUUCCGACGACCCUCUUGGUACUCCGACGAGAAGCUCCAGGCUUGAAUGCCACUUUCCGGUUAGAACGGCUGCAACCAGAGUUAGAUAGACAUCGAGUUUAGGCGACGACCAACCCUCUGACGAACGAAGUUCAGCCUGGGAAUGGAGGCAAAAAGGAGAAGAUAAUUUAUGCAGUUUUUUUGCUAACUUGUCGGAAGCUUUGGCGAAACAGAAACGAGAGUAUUUUCGAUAAAAAGUUCACUUCAGUAGCGAUCUUGGUCGAUGACAUAAAGGUUGAAUCCUUUUGGUGCAUGGUGAAGCGAAACAAACUCACUGGCUAGACAUGGAAAGAUAGUGCAGAUUCGAGUGGAUAGACUUUUACCUAGCAUUUGGUUUGUUUCUUUGUUUUUGUUUUGGGUCUGUCCAGUUUUGUUUGGGGUCUGUAGCUUCUCUUAGCUUCUUGCUAACAGAGCAGUGGUUGUUUUUAUGGAAUAAAGAUCUCUAUCGAGUGAUUGUUUAAAAACCAACUACAACUGGUCUGUAUUAUGUAAUCAUGACUACAUAUAUGUUUUAUGGUUAAACGUCUACUGAAGUUAUGUUCA
Long non-coding RNA from Helianthus annuus (common sunflower), 1528 nucleotides. RefSeq lists it as uncharacterized. The record is from RefSeq and is a predicted model, not a curated record. Lineage: Eukaryota; Viridiplantae; Streptophyta; Magnoliopsida; Asterales; Asteraceae. The transcript has 5 exons.